Long non-coding RNA from Vicia villosa (hairy vetch), 546 nucleotides. RefSeq lists it as uncharacterized. The transcript is spliced from 3 exons. The record is from RefSeq and is a predicted model, not a curated record. Lineage: Eukaryota; Viridiplantae; Streptophyta; Magnoliopsida; Fabales; Fabaceae.
UUCAUUAAGCACUCUCUGUUUCGUUUAUACCUUUUUUAAUGUGUGUGAAAUUUACAAAGACGUGUGGAACUCAUGUGCAAUUGACUGUAUUUGAAACCUAAUCAAAACUUAAUGUGUGUUCAGUCGAGUAUAAGAAGUUCGUUGGGAGAAUGUCGUCUACUUUGCUGGAAGUGACUCGGGCUGCACACGGGGAGGUCGAAAGAUUUUGAUGCAAGCUUGGCAAAGGUUGUUUAUUUCGGUCUUUUGAGGUCAGGGCCAUGUUUCCUGGAAAUCAAUCAGCAAUGCCUGCAUAAAUAAUUACUUCUCAGGAUGUUGGACUCCAUGCUAGGCAUAUCAGUACCGUGUCAACGGUGGAUAGUGGUAAAUCAUAACUUACAUUUUUUGUACCAAUAUCUUUAGAAAUGGACUAUGAAAUGCAGGUCAUUAUAUUUUGUUUACCGUUAACCUUUUGUUUAUGUCACCUAUUUGUUUGUGGGAUAACUAACCGAAUGAGUAUUUCUCAGUUGGGAUCUGGAAAAAAACCUGUUGGUGCCAUAGCUUAUUUGU